UCAUGGGUUACCUAAGUUUAUCUAUGCCAAAGAUUGUAGGCCUAAAGUAUCAUGCUAAUUUCUGAAGCCAAUGUCUUCCAGGAUACAAGUCUGUAGGUUCCUGGCAUUACUGCUAAAACUGAAAAAGCCAAAUAUAAUGCAAACCAGUGAAUACAAUAGAGUGCAUAGGGACCUCACUCAAGGAUCAGAUCCCAUUGCAUGAGGCGCUAUACAGGGCUCCUCUGACUGUAACAUCUGAAUGCUUCCCAGUCAAUUCGUCCCAUGACACCCAAGUAUUAUUACUCCCAUUCCCAGAUGGAGAACUGAGGAAUAGAGAGAUGAAGUGACUUGCCCAAGACCACACAGGAAGUCUGUGGUCGAGUUAGGAACUGAACGCAGAUCUCAUGAGUGCAACCCGGUGCAUUAAUCAGGAGACCAACCUUCUUUCAUGCAUGAAUCCGGAGCAGC
Molecule: long non-coding RNA, 447 nt
Organism: Mauremys reevesii (Reeves's turtle)
Lineage: Eukaryota; Metazoa; Chordata; Testudines; Geoemydidae
Exons: 3
Source: RefSeq, a predicted model, not a curated record